Molecule: long non-coding RNA, 744 nt
Organism: Hibiscus syriacus
Lineage: Eukaryota; Viridiplantae; Streptophyta; Magnoliopsida; Malvales; Malvaceae
Exons: 3
Source: RefSeq, a predicted model, not a curated record
UUCCCAUUGUUUUUAGUUGGAUAAAUUCAAGGCCUGAAGAUAAAAUCCUACGCGGAGAAUUCAAUUUGAUAUUUUUUUUUGGGAGAGAUUCAAUUUGAAUAUAAAUAUAUAGGACCGGGCAUUGGGCAACAUUGCAAAAAUCGGCAUCUUUUGUCAGAGAAAUCUGGAAAAUUGUAGGUCGAGAAAAAGAUCGAUUCCUCUUUCUCUGCCGCGGGAAAGAGAGUGAGAGAAUGACAGGAAUUUCAAGAAGUAGAUCGGUUCGUUUUCUACUGUUUUUCGCUUCCGUUCAUCUACAACUCAUUCCAGGUUUUUCUGAUGACUCCACAAGCUCAAAAACCAAGCCUGAUACAAAUAAUAAUACUGCGACCAUAAUAGUCUUUGUACUGUUCGGGCUUGUUGCAGUAGGGUUGUUUUCGUUUUUCCUUUACAAGUUGUGGCAGAAAAAGAAACGAGACGAACAAUAUGCCCGUCUUUUGAAGUUGUUUGAACAAGAUGAUGAACUCGAGGUUGAACUAGGCCUUGGGGGCUGAGAGCAUCGUUGUAAAAUCAGCUUGUCCUAUUUGAGGCCAAAACAGCAUCGCUGCUGGUGUUGUUUUAGAGAAACCGGUUUUCUAGUGGCCAUAGAUCAGGAUUUAAGCAAACCCUUUGGAGAGGUCAGAUAAAAUUCCAAACAUAACUUGUACUAUUUGUAAUGAUAAAAUGAGAUUUUAUUAUGAAUUUUAAGGUUUGUGCUUUACUUUGAAA